AGCAGUAGACAACCCCUUACUCUCUACGUGGGGCCAUGUGAAACAGUGGAAUCAACAAGCACAAAAACGUGAAACCGUGGCAUUUCAGAGCCUGCGAGAAGCACACUUGGGUCCAGCACUUGAGAAAAGUAAAAAGCUCAGGAAUCUGCCCUGUUAACAGCCCCGGGAGGUGAAGCCCAGUGCUCAGAUGCAGAGAUGCACAGAGAACAUUCUGAGGAGAAAUCAAUGGCUCACAUGGCAAGCCUCAAGAGCACUGCUUCUGGAGCUAGAAGCCAGGGUUCAAAUCCCAAUCUUACACCAGAAAGAAUGGUGCUGGGGCAGAAAACACCAGAAGUGGACAUAGGAAGAAAGAGAGAAACUCGGGAGCCUGAGGUGCUCUGGUACAGGGAUCAAUGACCUGGCUUAGCCCAGCACCAUCUGGAAGGACCAGUGCAUU
Sciurus carolinensis (gray squirrel) is the source of this 436-nucleotide long non-coding RNA. RefSeq lists it as uncharacterized. The record is from RefSeq and is a predicted model, not a curated record. NCBI's taxonomy places the organism in Eukaryota, Metazoa, Chordata, Mammalia, Rodentia, Sciuridae. The transcript is spliced from 4 exons.